RNAcentral lists this long non-coding RNA (4355 nucleotides) under Canis lupus familiaris (dog). RNAcentral's name for it is "lncRNA (ENSCAFG00030006872.1)". The record is from RNAcentral. Lineage: Eukaryota; Metazoa; Chordata; Mammalia; Carnivora; Canidae.
GCCUCCACUUACAGGCAGGGGCACAAGCCCAUAUGCAAGUCAAAAGACGUGCGCGUUUCUCAGCGGGCUCCCCAUUGCAAAGAUGGUGUUUCUGUGUUUCUUGUGACCUUAUUUGUAAACUGCCUACAAUUAACUUCGCAAGGAAAGGUGCUCCGUUUUCCAGUCAAACAGGUACUUUGGGUAGAAUCACACCGCGUUUAUCUCCAUUCACCGGAACGAGCUGACGCGGCUCCACACCUGUGCUGGACCCUAGUGCACGCAGCCACAGUUAUUUUUCCUGCGGACGCCGAAGUGCCCAGGUGCCCACUACUUAGGAGCGGACUGCGCUUGGCAGCGGCCAGGGGCCUUUCCGGGAGUCGCCGGGUGUCACGUCUCCUGAAGGGCGCCCAGCCCAGGGUGACACGAGAGGGGCGUGCUGGAGGACAGGCUCUAGCCCACGCCAGGUCCCACGCAACCCUCCGAGGCAGCUGUCGCCAGGUGGUACCUGCCUCUAGCCAAUCGCCAUGGCGGUUACAUUUAACGCGGCUGCGGCAGCCAAUCCGAGGCCACGUCUCAGCCUGCGCCCCGCCCCCUCCCCCGCCCCGCGCCGCGCUGGGUCCCGGGCGGCGGGCGGCUGCGCACACCCGGAGCGCACCCGGCCGCGCGGUCCUCGGGGCGGAGGGGCUGCUAACCGCGGCGCGGGGCGGGCGGGCCGCUACUGCGCAGGCGCCGCAGGAAGGUCUCGGCUCGCGCGUGUCCCUUGGGGUCGGCUGGCCCCGCGGCCCACGAGCGCCGAGGUCCGCGCCGGCCGCAGCUGAAAGCCAGAAAGCGAAGAUGACCCUUUAGGUGCUUUUGAUUGGCUGGACAGCGCGCGAAGCACAUGCUGCCCCUCUCGGCGUAGCUACCCCGUGGGGUAAGAGUGUCCCCAUUCUGCAGAUGCGGAAACUGAGGCUCAGACAGGUAACGUCGCACACGGUACGGCUGCAGACAGGCUUGACCAGGUCUGACCCCGCAGGGCGGUUGCCGUUGCCCAUCCACCAGGUGAUCUGCUGGGUGGGACCUCAGCCUGAAAACUUGCCAGUGUCCUAGGCAGGCAGAUGCUCCGUUGGUGAAUGUUACGGUUUUCUUUUGUUUCCACCCCCCCCCCCCCCAAAAAAAAAGUGGAGGGAAGAAAAAAAAAUAAAACUGCCCGCCCCGCUCGCCCCCAAGGCGUUCCAGGCCCUUUCAAGGCAGUGAAGCUCAUUUGCAAGCAAAGAGGAGAUAUUUUCUGUAGUUUAGAUUAGCUACUGAAUAGAACUUGGGAGAAAUGUCGGUGACGACACAAGCACCGUGACGGAUUAUUUUACUCCGUAGGAAGGAAGUGUAGCUGUUCUGGAGAUACUAGAGAAUUUUGUGUGCCCUGAAAAUGGCAGAAUUAUUUAGAAUCCUAGAAUUUUUAAGAUUGAGAAAGUCCUGCAGAGGGUAGUUUGUUUUUUUUUUUUUCCUUAGAACGCUAAGAAAAUAAUAACCUAGAGGGAACCACCAAAGUUUCCCAUGUCCAUAGACAAUGCUAUUUUAUUUUAAAGCAGUAUAAAAAGUCUUUAGAAUAGGGCUUUCGUAUUAUAAAGCUGAUGCUGACAGUGUCUUUCACCAUUUCCUGUAACCGCUCUAUUCUCACCACUUAACUUGGGCUGAGAAUGCCGGUAGGGAUUGCCUGACAUGCAUUCCAUCCAGGUAAAAAAGUCAUCCCACGGGAGAUCCAGCACAUUUCACCUCCUGAACUAAAGAUGACUACCUACUAGUUCUAGUUACUGUUGGGAUGUUUGGGUAUAGUCCAGAUGAGUCUGCUUUUUUUUUUUUUUCUUCCCUCCACUAUUUUUUUUUUUUUUAAUUACAGAGUUUUUCUCAAAGUUUAGUGAUCUAACAGUGAUUUUGAUCCCUUGAAAACUACUUGAGAACGUUCCACUGGCAUUUUGUUUAUAGAUUAACACCUGCUGUUAGAAUGAAAAUGCAGUAGACCUAGAUAGAGGCACUGCUGAUGAACACGUUCUGGCAGGAAAAGUCCUGGUAAUCAUUUGGAAUUUAUGACUAGUCUUGUUAGCUUGGUGUCACUAGACUUGUAGACUUGUUGAGGGCAUGAAUUAGUAAGUGCAUAGUAAAGCUACUAAAUUGCUCUCUGAGCUUGGCCAGUCACCGGACUUCGGCUCUAUCACAAGUAAGAAAAAAAGCAUUGAGCUAAAUUACUUCUAAUUAUUUUAGGGUUGCACAGUUGUAUUAUUCUGCCUGUGGCAGUACAGACUUUUUCCUAACCUAAUGGCUUUGUAACUAGAAUGGAUAAAAAGAAACUAAAUUUGAGGGCCUGUUCUAGAACAGAAUAUGCCUCCCCAUUUCACAAACGCCAAAACUGAGUCUGGGGAAGUUAGAUUUGCUCACAGUUGUGCAUCUAGUAAAUGUGAGCUCAAGUUACAGGAUCAUUCUGAUUUCAGAGCCUAUAAUCUUUCUUUUUUUUUUUUUUAAGAUUUUAUUUAUUUAUCCGUGAGAGACACAAAGGGAGAGAGAGAGAGAGAGGCAGAGACACAGGCAGAGGGAGAAGCAGUCUCCAUGCAGAGAGCCCGACAUGAGACUCGAUCCUGGGACCCCAGGAUCACACCCUGGGCUGAAGGCGGCGCUAAGCCGCUGAACCAUCUGGGGCUGCCCCAAUCUUUCCUCUCUGCUUCUAAGCCUGGGGACAAGGAUCCUAACAGUGUGCUAAUGUAUUCCUGAACCCCAGAAUAAAUAGCACAUGUACUUUGAGCAUCAUUUUUUUUUUCCUUCAAGAUUUAGGGAAGAAGGAUUUUAUAUGUAUUUUGAGAGAGGUCAAAGGUUUUUAUUUUGCUGUUGUUUUUGCAUUUGGAAGGUGUUAUAAAACAUUUUCAUGUUAAAAAACCCAAGUCUGUUAUGGAGUACAAAUUUCACAUAAUUUGAGGCAUAAAAUGAGACCACAAAGAUGUUUACUGUUUUUUGGCAGGGCAUUUCAGAUGCUUUUUAAAAAGGAUUACAAUUUCAUUCCCUCUUUUUUUGUUGUUAAUAUAAUAGUUUUAUUGAGAUAUAAUUCACACACUAUCCACUUUAUUUGAAGUGUACAGUUUAAUGGAGUCGUGGGAUCAUCACCACAGUCAAUAUGAGAACAUGUCAUCACCUCAAAAAGACACCUCAUACCAUUGUAAUUUACUCCCCAUUUCUCCCCAACCCCUUGCCACAAACACUAUCAAUGUACUUCCAUCUCUAAUAGAUUUGCCUGACUUAGGCAUUUCAUCUAAAGAGUCAUAUAUUAAGAGAUCUUUUAUGAUUGCCUUCUUUCCCUUAGUGUGUCAAGGUUUAUCCACUUGUAGUGUAUGUUAGCACUUCCUUCCUUUUUAUUGUCAAAUAAUAUUUCAUGGUAUGGAUAGACCACAUUUUAUUAUCCAUUUAUCAGGACGCCCGAUUGGCUUAGCAGUUGGACAUCUGCCUCCGGCUCAGGGAGUGAUCCCGGGAUCCAGGAUCAAGUCCCACAUCAGGCUCCUUGCAGGGAACCUGCUUCUCCCUCUGUCUGUGUCUCUGCCUCUCUCUCUCUCUCUCUCUCUGUCGCUCAUGAAUAAAUAAAUAAAAUCUUAAAAAAAAGUUAUGUAUCCAUUUAUCAUCACCUGAUGGCCUAUUUGAGUUGUUUCCACUUCUUGGCCAUUAAAGAUAAUGCUGUUGUGAACAUUUAUGUUUUAGUGUGAGCAUCUGUUUUAAUUUCUUUAGGGCGUAUACUGGAUAAUAUGGUGACUCUGGUUAAAGAACUGCCACAGUGUUUUCCAGGUGGCUCUCUCACUUUAUGUUCUCACCAGCACUGUAUAAAAGUUCCAGUUUCUUUGUAUCCUUACUAACUCUUGUUCUGUGUCUUUUUGAUUCUCUCCAUCCUAGUGGGUCUGAAAUGCUAUUUCAUUGUGGUUUUGAUUUGCAUUUCCCUGAUGACUAAUGAUGUUGAACAUCAUUUCAUGUGCUUAUUUGCCACCUGUAUAUCUUUGGAAAAAUAUCUUUGAGAUCCUUUGCUCAUUUUUUAAUUGGAUUAUUUGACUUUAUUUUUAAGUUAUAAUAUUUACAUAUUCUAAGUACAGAUCACUUAGAGAUGAUUUGCAAAUAUUUUCUCCCAUUCUGUGGGUUGUCUUUUCUCUUCAUGGUAUUCCUUAGAGCACAAAAGUCAAGUCUUAUUUAUUUAUUUAUUUAUUUAUUUAUCACUUGUUCUUUUGGUGUUGUACCUAAGAAGGUUUUGCCUAACUCAAGGUCAUGAAGAUAUACUUCUGUAUUUUCUUUUAAGAGUUUUAUAGUUUUAGCUCUAAAUUUUGGUCCAUGAACCAUUUAUGGUUAAUUUUGGUGUAUAGGAUAAGAUGAGGGUU